This 1225-nucleotide ribosomal RNA is filed under the name Escherichia coli. RNAcentral's name for it is "partial 23S ribosomal RNA". It matches the Rfam family "Bacterial large subunit ribosomal RNA", at positions 294 to 1529 of the family's 2925-position model. Lineage: Bacteria; Pseudomonadati; Pseudomonadota; Gammaproteobacteria; Enterobacterales; Enterobacteriaceae. The record is from RNAcentral.
GGAGCAGCCCAGAGCCUGAAUCAGUAUGUGUGUUAGUGGAAGCGUCUGGAAAGGCGCGCGAUACAGGGUGACAGCCCCGUACACAAAAAUGCACAUGCUGUGAGCUCGAUGAGUAGGGCGGGACACGUGGUAUCCUGUCUGAAUAUGGGGGGACCAUCCUCCAAGGCUAAAUACUCCUGACUGACCGAUAGUGAACCAGUACCGUGAGGGAAAGGCGAAAAGAACCCCGGCGAGGGGAGUGAAAAAGAACCUGAAACCGUGUACGUACAAGCAGUGGGAGCACGCUUAGGCGUGUGACUGCGUACCUUUUGUAUAAUGGGUCAGCGACUUAUAUUCUGUAGCAAGGUUAACCGAAUAGGGGAGCCGAAGGGAAACCGAGUCUUAACUGGGCGUUAAGUUGCAGGGUAUAGACCCGAAACCCGGUGAUCUAGCCAUGGGCAGGUUGAAGGUUGGGUAACACUAACUGGAGGACCGAACCGACUAAUGUUGAAAAAUUAGCGGAUGACUUGUGGCUGGGGGUGAAAGGCCAAUCAAACCGGGAGAUAGCUGGUUCUCCCCGAAAGCUAUUUAGGUAGCGCCUCGUGAAUUCAUCUCCGGGGGUAGAGCACUGUUUCGGCAAGGGGGUCAUCCCGACUUACCAACCCGAUGCAAACUGCGAAUACCGGAGAAUGUUAUCACGGGAGACACACGGCGGGUGCUAACGUCCGUCGUGAAGAGGGAAACAACCCAGACCGCCAGCUAAGGUCCCAAAGUCAUGGUUAAGUGGGAAACGAUGUGGGAAGGCCCAGACAGCCAGGAUGUUGGCUUAGAAGCAGCCAUCAUUUAAAGAAAGCGUAAUAGCUCACUGGUCGAGUCGGCCUGCGCGGAAGAUGUAACGGGGCUAAACCAUGCACCGAAGCUGCGGCAGCGACGCUGAUGCGUUGUUGGGUAGGGGAGCGUUCUGUAAGCCUGCGAAGGUGUGCUGUGAGGCAUGCUGGAGGUAUCAGAAGUGCGAAUGCUGACAUAAGUAACGAUAAAGCGGGUGAAAAGCCCGCUCGCCGGAAGACCAAGGGUUCCUGUCCAACGUUAAUCGGGGCAGGGUGAGUCGACCCCUAAGGCGAGGCCGAAAGGCGUAGUCGAUGGGAAACAGGUUAAUAUUCCUGUACUUGGUGUUACUGCGAAGGGGGGACGGAGAAGGCUAUGUUGGCCGGGCGACGGUUGUCCCGGUUUAAGCGUGUAGGCUGGU